AUCCAGCUGAAGAAUCCCAAACACGAUGGAACGCGCGUGCUGGAU
Non-coding RNA from Schistosoma rodhaini, 45 nucleotides. The record is from Rfam. NCBI's taxonomy places the organism in Eukaryota, Metazoa, Platyhelminthes, Trematoda, Strigeidida, Schistosomatidae.